This is a long non-coding RNA of Gallus gallus (chicken), 3514 nucleotides long. The record is from Ensembl. NCBI's taxonomy places the organism in Eukaryota, Metazoa, Chordata, Aves, Galliformes, Phasianidae.
UCUGGUUCUCGUAAUGUCAGUCAUGAUUAGCUCUAACAAACAUACAACAGCCUUUUGGGCUGCUUCGCAAGGCGGCCGUGUGGAGGUGGAGGUGGCAUUUGUUCUCAAUCACGUGGGAUUUUGAGGACUGGCUGCUUUGCAUCAUGCAGGGCGAGCAGCACUGCUGCGCUCACACGGCCGGCGGUGCUGUGCAGUGCAAUGCAGCGCAGUGUGAUGCUGUGCAACAUGGUGCAGCGUGGUGUGAUGGGGUGCAAUGCAUUGCAGUGGAGUGUGGUGGAGUGCAAUGUGCUGCAGUGUGGCAUGAUCUGGUGCAAUGCAAUGCAAUGCAGCGUGGCCUGAUGCAGUGCAAUGCGGUGCCAUGCAGUGCCGUGUGAUGUGAUGAUGUGCAGUGUGGUUUGAGGCAGGGCAAUGUGAUGCAGUGUGGACUGUUGCUGUGCAAUGUGCUGCAGCAUGGUGUGAUGUGGUGCAGUGUAGGGCAGUGUGCUCUGAUGCUGUGCAAUGAAGUGCCAUGCAGUGUAGUGUGGUGCAGUGUAGCAUGAUGCAGUGCAAUGUGGUGCAGUGUGGUGUGAUGUGGUGCAAUGCAGUGCAGAGUUGGCCUGGUGCAGUGCAAUAUGGUGCCGUGCAGUGCAGUAUGAUGUGAUGCUGUGCAGUGUGGUCUGAUGCAGUGCAGUGUGGUGCGUUGUGACGUGAUGUGCAAUGUGGUGCAGCCUGCCAUGAUGUGGUGCAGUGCAGUCUAUAGUGUGAUGCGGUGCCACACAGCGCAGUGUGAUGUCAUGCAGUGCAGUGGGGUCUGAUGCAAUGCAGUGUGGUACAGUGUCGUGUGAUGCAGUGCAAUGCAGUGCAGUGUGCUGUGAUGAAGUGCAGUGCAAUGCAGUGUGCUGUGAUGAAGUGCAGUGCAAUGCAGGGCUGCCAAUCCAUGGCUGGGGGCAGUGUGCAGCGGGGGCAUGGUGUGGACAGCUCAGGGAGAUGCACUGCAGUUCCCCCCACCAUGCAGUAAUCCAGUUUUCCAGAGCAAAUUGGAUGUUGACGAAACAACUUUAUUUUCACCCAAACAAUUUUGCUCUUCGUGGAAACUAUUCGUGCUCGGCGUGCAGCCCUUCGCACAGACAGCUGCGAGGAGCUGCUCUGCUCACGCCAGGGCUGCAGGUGCUGCGUCCCAUCGGUCUGCCCUUAUGGGGUGGGAGGGAUGCAGGGCACCACAGGCACCCGCCCCCAGCAGCAGCCCUGUCUGCACGGGGCCACUCCGAGGUGGGGAUGCAGCACAGGACGGCUAUAAAUCAGGAGGUGCACUGCGGUGCAGCCCGCAGGCAGUGCUGUGCGUGACCUGCAGCCGCGGGUUGGGCACGGAUGCACAGAUGCUGCAGAUUAACGAAACGAAGAGCUGGGAGGUUUCUGCUGAAGACAUUUUUCCGUUCAUGAGGACAUGGGGUGGAGAGGGUGGAACGUGGUGGGGGGGCGGCUGCUGUCAGGAACAACAAAAGGGAGGAGGGGGGAGGGCAGCGAGAGGGAGAGAUUUUUGAUUCAUGGUCAAAAAUUACCCAAACUUUAUUGCCAAAAUGUCUACAUUUUUAUGCGCUUAAGCACAGUGAGUUAUGGAAACCUUAAAACAAUGGAAUGAUCUCCUUCAUUGCGCUCCGUUUGUUCAAAGUAACCACUCCUCUUCCCAGGGUGGAAUCUCUUUUUCCUUUUUAUUGACUUACAAAAAAUGUCUCUGCUAUCAGCACCGGCCGUGUGCGUGUCAUAAAUAGCGGGGUGGGACGCGGGGCUCUGGGGGGAAGGGGGUUAAACCUCUCUCUGCCCCAACCCUUCCUCGAGAAAGGUUUUUAUGGCAUUGAUUUGGCACAUCCUCGACGUGAACCUGCCUGAACGAGAGGGGCUGCAAAUUCCUUGAAGCGGAUCCAACACACGGCGCCGCGGUUCCCUCACUGCGGGAGUCCCUCCUCUGCCAGGCAUGCAGCUCUCCCAGCAGUCUGCCGAAGCUGCAGCGCUGGGAGGGGCUGUGGGGCUGCAAGGCUGUGGGGCUGCAAGGCUGCGGGGCUGUAAGGUGUGGGGUUGCGUGACUGCAGGGCUUCGAGCAUGCAGGGGUGUGGGGUUGCAGGGUGUGCUGAGGGCUCUGCUGCCAGGUGAGGGCUGCAGAGCUGAGGCAUGCCCUGGCUAUUGCAGCCCUUCACAAGCAGAGGGAUACAGGCAGUUGUGGGGGGGUUUUUUUGCAUCGUCCUGCAGCAGGAGGAUGCCCUGCAACCAUCCCUGCACUGACCAUUGCGCUGGGCCUCCUGGGAAGCUGCAGCUCCACGUGCAAGAGCAAGGAGAGCAACGUGCAAAGAGCUUUUCUCAGCCCCCCCCCCCCAUCCCACCCAGCAGAGGUUCCUCUGCUCCUUGGCUAUGCAGUGCCUGCCUUUGCAGUGCUGUGAACCAGGCAGGACAGAGCUGGGAUGCACGGGGCUCUGCUCAGUGCCCACAGCAGCACUGCAGCCGGGGGGGGGGGGGGAGGGGGGACGACGGCCCACAGCCCCCACUCUGCACCAGAGGGGAAAACUGCACGAGCCCCAGAAAAAUGUCUGCAGCCCUAUAAACUGACACCACUGUUUAUAAUAUUCCUAAGUGCUGUUGCGUGAUGAGAGCGGUUCUCCGACGAGGAAAAUUUACUUUUUUUCCUUCUUUUUUUUUUCUCCUUUUUCUUUUUUUUUAAAUAAAGUUAGAAAGCUGCGAGUCCCACAGAAGAUGUUUUGGCUCUCCUUCAGGGUUUGUUUGUUUUUGCUGUUUGCUGUAAGUAACAACUGAGGGCCAUUUGCUGGCGAUAAUGUUACAGCCGCAGCGCAGCGGUGGGAACUGCUGACAGUCAGAAGUUGUUGACCUCCUGGGUAAAAUGUAUCUGCACACAUCUCACAUCCCGGGGCAUGAAACCAUCACUUUGUCAUUGCUUUGUGUGUGGAAAGGCUCCUCCAUGUGAACCCGGCACUUUGCUGCAGUCCCAGUUUGUUGAUAUUGAGCUAAAAACAAACAAGCAAGGAAAGUGGGCAGCUACAGCAAUCCCCUGAGCUGCAGACGUAGCAGGGAGGUGAGGAUGGGGAAUGGGGAGAUGAGGGUAAGUAAGGAGCAGGGAUGGGAGGAUGGAGCGGGGGGAUGAGGAUGGUGAGCAGAGAGAUGAGGAUGGGGAGCAGGGAGAUGAUGGGGAGUGGGGAGAGGAGGACGGAGAGCAGGGAUAUGAAUGUGGGGAGCAGGGAGAUGAUGGGGAGUGGGGAGAGGAGGACAAGGAGCGUGGACAUGAGGAUGGGAAGUGGGGACAUGAACAUGGGGAGCAGGGAGAGGAGGAUGGAGAGCGGAGAGAUGAGGACAGGGAACAGGGAGACAAGGAUGGGGAGUGGGGACAUCAGGCCAGGAAGCAGGGACGUGAGGAUGGGAAGAAGGGACGUGAGGGCAGCAAGCAAGGAGACGAGGAUUGGGCACCAUGUGUCAUUUCCCCUCUGUCUGUACCAUUGGAAAACGGGAAUUGAGGCUUAGAAAAAUGCAUUCC